CGGACGGGUGGAGUAAGCGUGGAUAACCUGCCUCACACUGGGGGAUAACAGUUAGAAAUGGCUGCUAAUACCGCAUAAGCGCACAGUACCGCAUGGUACGGUGUGAAAAACCCAGGUGGUGUGAGAUGGAUCCGCGUCUGAUUAGCCAGUUGGCGGGGUAACGGCCCACCAAAGCGACGAUCAGUAGCCGACCUGAGAGGGUGACCGGCCACAUUGGGACUGAGACACGGCCCAA
Molecule: ribosomal RNA, 235 nt
Filed under: uncultured bacterium
Lineage: Bacteria
Description: partial 16S ribosomal RNA
Rfam family: Bacterial small subunit ribosomal RNA
Source: RNAcentral